GAUCAUGGCUCAGAUUGAACGCUGGCGGCAUGCUUUACACAUGCAAGUCGAACGGCAGCACAGGGAGCUUGCUCCCGGGUGGCGAGUGGCGCACGGGUGAGUAAUACAUCGGAACGUGUCCUAUUGGUGGGGGAUAACUGCUCGAAAGGGUGGCUAAUACCGCAUGAGACCUGAGGGUGAAAGGCGGGGGAUCGCAAGACCUCGCGCAAUUGGAGCGGCCGAUGCCCGAUUAG
Molecule: ribosomal RNA, 233 nt
Filed under: uncultured bacterium
Lineage: Bacteria
Description: partial 16S ribosomal RNA
Rfam family: Bacterial small subunit ribosomal RNA
Source: RNAcentral